RNAcentral lists this long non-coding RNA (512 nucleotides) under Panicum hallii. Its description in RNAcentral is "long non-coding RNA (PHAL_LNC000834)". The record is from RNAcentral. Lineage: Eukaryota; Viridiplantae; Streptophyta; Magnoliopsida; Poales; Poaceae.
GCCAGUUUGGCACGGCUCCCCGCUCCCGAUUCUCGCUGAGAAUCCAAGGAUCCGUGCCAAACAACGUUUCUUGAGGAGCGAUUCUUCGCGGGAGCAAGGGAAUCGAUCCCUGUUUUUACGUUGAACGCAAGGAUCGGAUAGAACCCGCUCCCCCGCGCUCUGGAACCGCUUCUCAACCAACGACGAUACAGACCUCGCCACCAACUUGCAGAUUAUUUACCCGCAAUUGCCACUGAACAAAACCAGGCGCCCUUCUCCCCUGCCCGAUCCCCCUUCGCUCCCCGUGAGUCGCCCGCACACGCUCAGCAGUUGUCCGCCGCCCCCUACUCCGUCCGCCCCCUCCUCUCCCUGAACUCCGGCCGCCGCCCCAGAUCCAGCCGCCGGCGGGCACCUCCACUCCGGCCCCCUUCUGCUCCGCACAGAAACGCCCGAAGCAGUGGUGGCUCGCUAGGUGAUGUGGCCGCCGUCCUGUAGACCGGCCGCCGCCCCAGAUCCGGCCCGCGCGUGCGGGG